This 305-nucleotide long non-coding RNA is filed under the name Elaeis guineensis (African oil palm). RNAcentral's name for it is "long non-coding RNA (EGUI_LNC068040)". The record is from RNAcentral. Lineage: Eukaryota; Viridiplantae; Streptophyta; Magnoliopsida; Arecales; Arecaceae.
AGCUUGAUGACUCUCAUGAGAGCUGAAGGUUGAAAGUUUCUUCCCUUCCAGAGUCUUUCCUCUUGAGAUCUCUUGGCUCUUCUUAUAUAGGUACAGAACAAAGAUUAAUCUCGAAUACGGGAAUGGAUAUAGAAUCACGGAGAGCAAAUCCAAUUGUCCCAACAAAUAUAAAUCAUAUAUGCCCUAAAAUGAGAGCUAUUUUUCCUAUAUACUAUUAUAUAUAUAACGUAAAAUGUCCCAAUAAAUUUUUUUUUUAUCUUGAAUCCAUGGACUGGUAAAUACAAUGGACGGCCAGCUCGAUAAGU